Leguminivora glycinivorella is the source of this 451-nucleotide long non-coding RNA. RefSeq lists it as uncharacterized. Lineage: Eukaryota; Metazoa; Arthropoda; Insecta; Lepidoptera; Tortricidae. The record is from RefSeq and is a predicted model, not a curated record. The transcript has 2 exons.
AAAAAAAAAUAAAAAAUAUCAAAAAAGAAAGUAUGCAAAAGACAACAAAGAUUUAUAACAGACAUUACAUUAUUACACAAUAUUAUCGGGUCGGACUCGUCAUAGCCGUACAUUAAAAUAAUUUUGACUACAUCUAGCGCCAUCCGGCCAUUACGGGAACUAAAAUGACAUAACAAAAAGCACGAGUACAAGGACAAACAAAAAUUGGCAAUGCAAACUUAAAUUAUUAAUUAAUAACAAUAAAAGGCUGAGAAUAUUUCAGAAUGUAGUGUGCCAUGGCAAUACAGACGGAACAUAAACUAUGUGGUUCCUCAUAGGUGGUGGGACAUUAUUCCAACACUUUGAAGCGUUAUACCGGUAGCUGCCCCGGAAGGCUGCCGAAGCAUGGCGUGGCGUCAGCAAAUGACUUCCACAAUUGCGGCGGUCGCGGAGCUUGAUGCAAGAUAACUUA